This 559-nucleotide ribosomal RNA is filed under the name uncultured bacterium. RNAcentral's name for it is "bacterial SSU rRNA". It matches the Rfam family "Bacterial small subunit ribosomal RNA", at positions 335 to 907 of the family's 1533-position model. The record is from RNAcentral.
ACUCCUACGGGAGGCUGCAGUGGGGAAUCUUCCGCAAUGGGCGAAAGCCUGACGGAGCAACGCCGCGUGAGUGACGAAGGCCCUUGGGUCGUAAAACUCUGUCUUCAGGGAAGAAAAAAAUGACGGUACCUGAGGAGGAAGCCCCGGCUAACUACGUGCCAGCAGCCGCGGUAAAACGUAGGGGGCGAGCGUUGUCCGGAAUUACUGGGCGUAAAGGGCGUGUAGGCGGUUCGCGAAGUCAGGAGUGAAAACUCGGGGCUCAACCUCGAGAUUGCUUUUGAAACCAGCGGGCUUGAGUGCAGGAGAGGAAAGUGGAAUUCCCAGUGUAGCGGUGAAAUGCGUAGAUAUUGGGAGGAACACCAGUGGCGAAAGCGGCUUUCUGGCCUGUAACUGACGCUGAGGCGCGAAAGCGUGGGGAGCAGACAGGAUUAGAUACCCUGGUAGUCCACGCCGUAAACGAUGGGUGCUAAGUGUUGGGGGUAUCGACCCCCUCAGUGCUGUAGUUAACGCAAUAAGCACCCCGCCUGGGGAGUACGGUCGCAAGACUGAAACUCAAGGA